AGGGGUUCUCCUGGCUGGGGAGGGCUUUUAGCUGCUUAUUAUGGUUUCUGUGUGCAUCUGUGAUGCUGUUGUGGGCUCCUGGAGCUUCUGGGUCCCAUUUAAAAGCGGGAUCUUGUCUCUGUGUGCUCAGGUAGCAUCAGGGCUGGCACCCCCGAGGCAAUGAGCAGGGCACUGGGGGGAACGUGGAGCCUCUGUGCCAGCAGCUGGAUGCCACCCUGGUUCUGAGGGAAUCUGGCCUUGGCUCCCAAAUGAGGACAUCCAGGUCCCUUCAUACGUCUGCUUCUGCUGGGUUGUGCCACUUGCUUUGGCUCUGUGUUGCUGUCAGCUGGACGAGGAUAUUUGCCUGCCUUCUGCGACUUCACCGAUCAUGUUUUCUCAGGUGCCUCCAUCCUUUACCCAGGAAGGGAGGCGGGGAUUUGUUUGAGGGGCGUUAUCAUAGAACAAGGACUUGGUUUGCCAGGCUUGCUCUUUUCUCUCUACUUCCACAGUUUCACCUCAAGUUACCCAUUCAUUCUUGAAAUCACAGGGCCAGAUUCCUCCCUCUUCUUUCCCCAGCCCGUUUUCUUUGCUUCUGCCUUUGUGGGAGCUUGUCUCAACACCCAGAAAAGGAGCCAAUGUUUUCUGUGCUAACAAAGUGAGCAUUGUUAUGCAGUUGCAGAGUGGGUGGAUGUGACUGCUGACAGACUAUUCCUUCUGCUAGGGUGUGGAUUAAAGCUCAAGGUGACUUUGUUCCUGCAUAAAUUCACUAACUUCCCCUAGGGAACUGGAGGGGCAGGGCCGGGAGGGGAGAAGUAUGAUAAAUGAAAGUGUCGGAAGGAAAUGCACUUACAUAGCACGCACUGCCAAAGCAUAAAUGCGUGCUCUGUAAGGAGCUUUCGACAUAGCUUAAGGUAGCACUCCAUGGAUUAAAAAGAAAUAAAAUUAUAAAAAAAAAACAAACAGCCUAUGUUUAGCUGACAACUUGCUCUGCAGGCUGCUGUCCCGGUGUAAUUGCCUGGGUAAGUGGAUUAGCGAGCAGCAGCGUGGCUUGUUCAGGGUUAGGCAUGCUUCGAGGGGCAGCCUGUGCUACAAGGAACAGCUCUGCUGCCUGCCAGCCGAGCCUGCUCGCCGCUGAAGACGGAGGCAGACUGUCGGGUUGUCAUCGUGUGCGCUCCCUGCGAAGGGUCCCAUGGAAACAGUUCCUUUCAGAGCUAUCGCUUGUCCUUAUCUGCGGCAAGGUGGGUAUGGUGACAGCAAAUCACAUCUUGGGACACUUCUUUGCCUUUGUUGCCAUGGGAAUCUGCCUUCUGCAGCUUUGUCUUCAGUGAAAAAAGAGAAGAGUCGUUACCUUCCCUUGCUCACCCCCCCAAAUGUGCUGAGGUCAAGGGGGUGGUCAGCCACGUAGCAUGUGGAACAAAAUGUUUGUGUUGAGGACAGGGCUGUGAGGCCUUUUGUCUUAGAAUCUCACCACAGCACGCACAUCCCUCCGUGGUAGUUACCGCGUCUGUCUCACGGAGCGGCGAUGCAAAGCACAAAGCAGCGAGGCGAGUUGGCCCAGGUAAGACGUGCUGGGGGUGUCAGGCGCCGCGUAUCUCACCGUGCCAGAGAAACAAGGCCGGGACCUGCCCCUGCAUCGACGUUACGGCACAGGUGGAAGAAUCCGGGUCACGCAGGAGGAGCCUGACACACCAAAGUGUGAUGUCUGCCUGAAGGCCUGGCACGACCCACGGGUUUGGGUGCCAGUGUGGGAGCACCCAGGUGUGGUUCCCUGCCUCCACAAGAGAGGGCGGCUGCGGUGGUGCCAGAGGCCCCACAGGCUGCUGGCAAGGCAGGGAUGCGGGAGCCAUGUGGCCAUAACCAGGAGGCGGCAGCACCGCCGAGCCUUUGAAGGGGCGCAAAGUGAUGCUGGGAAGCAGGAUCCUGACCCGGCCAUCUGGCCAAGUCAGCGCUGUGCUUCUCCGGUGCCACAGUUCAUGAUCAAGCCCUGUCAAAUCUGGUACAGAGAGAAUGGAAACUGCAUGUACAAAGCGAGCUUCAUUUCUUGUGGGAAAUAGUUCAGUCACUGGAAUUUUCCACCUUGUAAAGGGAACCACGUCGCUCACUCAGGAGGUACUCUGAGGUGAUGAUAACAAGAAAUCAGCGCAUUUCAGAGAGCUCCUCUCAGUUGCUGGGUAUGUUUUGUUCCUUCCCAGCCUUUGCUCGCAUCAUUUCUUCAGAUCAUAGCUGAUCUUUGCUUUUGUUACGAGUUUUGAGCGGAUUCCGAUACCAAACUCAAAGAUACUUAUCUGCACAGGACUCCUACGAAAUAAAGAAGUUGUGUCAUUUCCAUUGUAUGAAUGAGGAACUGAGUCAUAGGAGCCCAAAUGACACAUCUGAGGUUACUCAAGGAGGCUGAGCGCUGCUGGGAACUGAAUCUGGGUGUUCCUGUCCCCGGCGGAGAUCUCGCCCACUGCGUGCUGCAGCGUUUUCAUGUGGGGCAUCGCUGCGCCCUGCCUCUGGCCUUUGAUCUCAGCCUGGGCCCUUGGACUCUGAAACGAGUAAUAAACGCAAUAAACCUCUUUCAAGAGGAAAGAGUGAUUUAUCUGGAGCCCUAAACUUUUGGCACUGGAAGAAAAAGCAGAAUUUGAACUGGUCAAUGUAAAUAACACUACAAUUACAAUCAAGUGCUUUUGCUUAGACUUUGGUGUUUGUGGUGUCACGUCCUCCUGGGGAAGUGGGUAUUAUGCCUCCAGCUGGCAGAAAAGUUCACAUUUGUGCCUAAGCUGAUGCAGGUUUUGUUGCUAAAAAUACUGCACUAUUUCAAACUGCGCUGCUAUAAGCUAUGCAAAGAGUCAUCGUCUUGAUGUUGUUCAAAUUAACAGUGACUAAAUGCAAAAAUAGAAAUGAGAAACACACAAUUCUGGAGCAGCGGGAAAAAAAGAUGCAGCAGUUUAACCUGGGAUAGGAAAAAACACACAAUUCUCUCUCAAAAUGUGUGCAAGUGCUGUGUUUUUAAACAUAAAAAUACCUAUAUAACGAGCCGGUUUGAGUAAUUCAGAAAUGACAAUUCAGUACUGAAGGAAGUUUCACUUUCUUGCCUCAUAGCUGUGUGUUUGUUUACCUUUUUGCAUAUGUAUGAGUUUAUAUAUAAUGUGAACGAGUGCAUGAAAUGCUCACGCUGUUUCAGUUUGAGCAGUCUUUCCAUAUUCCCCCCGUCUGUAACUACUGUUGUUUACUCUUCAAGGAUGUUCACCACAAAACCCACUUUAACUCGUGCGCUGCUAAUUUUACAGGCAGGGUUUCAGUUCCAGCUCGAAGCAGCCUCAUUGUCCUGGAGCUCUGCCCAUGAAUGGGCCUUCCUGCAGUUGCCAAGAAUACUGAAAUGAAACGACUGGGUAAAAACAAUGCGUGGCGGAGCGCAGGCAAUUAAUGAAUCAACGCGAGGCACUGUCGGUGGAAUACGCUGAGCAUAUUGGUCUGGCCGCCUCUGCAUCAGCGCCGAGUUCUUAGAAAUGUCCCACUCGAGGCGGAAGAUACAGUCACCCGGCUGCUUAUGGAGAAAUGGGACGGCUUCAGUGCUCCGUGAAUAACACGAGUCAUGUCUGCCGCUCUCUGCUUACUCACCCUUGAAAGAAGCCAGUAUGGAAGCAGCAGAAAGCGACUCAGGCUCGCAAACAAAGUGGCUCGGGCUGCGGCGUGGUAGGAGUCUCUGUGAAGGCGGUGGCCUGCUCAGCAAGGUGUGAAGCGUGCAUGUGCUCGUGUAGAAAGGAUCUGCCCUGGAGGAUCUGGAGCUCAAGGAGCUGAGAGAGGUGGACAAGGGCAGUGGGAAGGAAGGGCUGUGGGUCCCAUGCCCCUGAGCAGGCUGAUUGCAGGAGAGAUUUUUUUUUUCUUUAGUAGAAUCUGGAAGCACAGAGAUGUAGGGAGGUGGUUUUCCUGCUGAGCUCCUUGCUGGGACCCUUUGUAGCACCUUGGUGCACCCCUAAGUGUCCUGGGGAGCUCACUGGAAGUGCCAGACAUGGGUGUCCAGCACAAAGUUCCCGAGGUCUUCUAUUUGUGACAGCAUCCUCUGCUUGCUACAAGGUAAGGCCUCUAGAUCAGCAGUGUGUUGGAUCAGAUUUAAUGGCUUGAACUGCACGGGUUUGUUUACAGGGAAGCAAGCUGGUGCUGUGCUUGUGUCCCUGUCCCCUGCCGUAGCUGCAAUUCCUGUAACAACGGAACAGGUUGUGGCUGUGGUGAAUGUGCUGCUGCUCACGGUCCUGCGAGGCAGAGAGAAGUGAGAUUCUUGCUUUCCUGUAGAUGUGCGGCACAGAAGAAAUAAGCUUCCUGCUCAGCACCACAGAAGAAAGCAUCGUCGUGACGUUAACAUCAAUCCUGCAUCCUCUCUGCCUGGUUCCCAGUGACUGAGUUCCCCUUUGCGGUAAAGCCCUUCUCCCUCCCUACCGCAGCGUGGCUGAGCAGCACGGCCUUUGUCAGUACAUCUCUGCAGGGAAAACAAAUUACCGUAAUGGCCCAAACGCUCCGUUUCUUCUGAAAGCCCGCGAGGUGAGCUUUGCAGGUCGGCUGUUCCAGAAGAGCAACCACCACGUGCUGACCUUUGCUCGUGUGAGUGCCAGCGUUAAUGAGUUACCUGCUGACCCCAGAGCCCUCCAGGAACCAUGUCAGCCUCCGCAGAGACCCCAGCUUGCCCACGGGUGGCUCCUUGUUACGCUCCAGCCUGCCCGUGCCCACCCCACAAACUCAGCCCCUUGGCCCCAGAGCUGCUGUUUGCAGCUCGGACAUGAGCAGGAGCCUCCUGGCCCCUGAGCUCAGCGCUGUGAGGUCUGCUGAAGCUUCUCGGCCAGCUGCAAAGCCUAAAGGAAGGAGGUGAUGCUGUUUAGGCAUCGUGGUUUUUAGUCCUUCGUUGUUUUUUUUUUUUUUUUAAUUUUGUAUUUUUUUAAAUAGGGAUUUUACAGUUGUUUCUGUAGCUUUGUAUCUGAACGAGGCGAAAAAUAACUUCAUAAUUUCUUUUAAAUAUACCUGAUAGAAUGACAAGUAGGAAGAGAAGCUGAACUUCGGAUCGAGCCUUCCUCUUUAACGUGCAGCCAGAAAACGCCAGAAGCUGCUUGUCCCAGAACAAAGCCGAGAGGUGGCCUCUGCUUGCUGCAUGCACCUGCCUCCUCGCCCCGGUCCCCUGCAGGGACCCUUCAGUGUGCCUGUGCCCAAACCCUGCUGCCCGUCCCUGGACCUGCGGGAGGGCAGGGGCGCUGAGAGCCGUGGGGCGCUCAUGGGGGCAGCGCGGGGGUCCCUUGGGCACAGCAGGAGCUGGGGACCGAGGGGCUUCCCCUAACAAAGCCCUUUCCAUCCGGCUCCCACUAUCCCCGUUGUUGGCGCAGUUUGGGAUCUGCGCGGCUCGGGAGCACAAAAGAGGCCAAACAAUAGGCACGGGGGAGCCUCCUGGCCCUGUCGGUCUGGACAGCUUUGUUCCAGCCUCCUUCCCGGGCAGGCGCUCGCCCCGCUCCUCCGUGUCCUUUGUCCCCAGCUGGAGACGGGCAGGUGAGCGGCGUGCGGGGCAGGUGCUCGAUGCACGAGGCUCCUCGGGCGCUGGGACUGUGGAUUUGGCUGGGGAGAGCCCUGGUCUGCCCGGUCCUGAGCGCCACUGUGCUGCUCCGGCAGCUCUGGGCUUGAUUUUAACCAGCAGCUGCAGGUUCUGCACUUCGAUUUUACGACUGGCUGUAAUUUUUGAACCAAACAAACAGGCAGCUGGCAGGCAGAUAUUAGCCUGGCAGAAAUCAGCCCCUGUCCCGACAAGGCUGGUUCUGAGAGGGGGUUUGAUAAGGCGUGUACGGAAAGGGGGUGUGCGAUAACACCGGGGAAGGAAAACACACAGGCUGGAGCGGUGACAAAGAGCUCGGUCGCACGCUCUGCCGUGCAAACGGGAUUGUUUGCGCGCUUGUCUGGCUCCCUCUUCCCCGUCCCCCAGCACCAGAGGGGCCGGGCUCCUCGGGGAGCUGCUGGGUCUGGGCAGAGAAUGCCCCUGGGGUCUGCGGCAGCAGCAGGGGCUGCAUGAGGGGACGUGGCCUCUGGGGCUGGCUUUAUGGCUGCACGUGGAGAGCGACAGCUGAGCUCCUCUGGCUGCUUUCCCUUCCAUCCUUAACGUGCAGCUCGUCCCAUCCUGCACCAGCCGUCUGAAAACACACCUAAAUGGCUCUCCAAAACAAAGGUCCUCGUGUGAUUGUUUUCCUUUUUAUCUUAGCUUUCAAGGAAUGGAGGUGAACCGAGAGCAGAUAAGGAGUAUUUACUCCCCGUGAGCAAACAGCGGAGGGCUGAAAUGAAGGAUUUUCUCCAGCAACAGCACUCCCCGCUCGUCACGCUGCACCUCUGAGUUUCCAGUAAGCGUACCUGAGCUACAAGGCAAACAAAUCGAGAGCCGUCAAGGUGUAUUUACCCUCCUGCUGCUCCUGCCACGGCGCUGGUGCAGGCUGGUGGCACGGGGAUGGGCACAGCCACCCGCACACCGGGCCAGGCCCUCGGGAUGCACCCAGCACCUCCGGGAUGAGCCCGUCCUCAGGCCCAUUGCAGCUCUCUCCCGUCCCUUCUGGUACUGGGACUUAGGUGAUGAUGGUGUUUUGGUAAAGUUGCCUUUUAGACUUCUGCCACGCAGUAUGUAGCUUUCCUGAGCCAUCAAGAAAAUGCUGAGAAAUCAGACUGAGGAGGUUUUGCCUUUCUUUCCCCACUCGGUGCUCCCCCACCCCUUAUCUCCAGACGGCUGCUCUGCCCCAGCCGCUCUGUAAACUUGUCCGGGUUUCCAGCGCUCCCCGCAUAAACCGCAACUGGGUGCUUUUUGCGCCGAUUAAGAUCACGCUGUGUGAAAGCAAACACAAAUUAGCUGUGGUCUUUGGGCCCCUGACACGUCUCCAGAGUCGCUGCCGGCGCCACAGCGCUCGUGCAACCCCGCAGCCUCUGUGCGGUGACGUCCCUGCGCCGGCACUGUGCGGGGCUGCUCCCAGCUCAGCUGCUAAUGCUCCCACCAGCUUUUACCACCAAAGUGGGAAGGGAGCUUUUCAGCAGCCGGAUGAACAGCAGGGACUUGCUUUUUCUCACUAGGCUACAAUGUCAGAUGUGGGAAGGGGAAGGAGGGGGAGGAUUUCCUGGGUAAUUCCCCAAAUCUUGAUGUGUGUGCAAAUGCCUCCCAGUCUGCUGCGUGCUACCCCUGUGAGCCCAGUGCAGGGGGAGACCGUGUCCCUGUUCAGGAUUAACUCCUGCAGGAAAAGAGCCCAUAAACUUCUUGUACAAACCAAGCCUGAAGUUUGCCACUUCUCUUAUGCAGGGAAGCACGGGACACUUUCCUGCCUGCUUGGACUCGCGCAGCACACAACGUGUCACACCAUUUCAGCACCCCUCGCAUAAGCUCUGCGGCGUGUUUACCGUCAGCAGCGGUGUUUCGUUUCAACAGAAACCUUUAAAGUCUUUGCAACUUCCUCCGGGGAUGCUAAACUCAGCGCCGCCGCGACCGGGUGGUGAAUGGGUUGAAAACGCUGCCGACGGUUUGAGGCGGCGCGUGGGCGCCGCGGGGGCGAAUGUUCCCUGCGCCGGGUGUUUUCUAAAGGUCUCCGACGCACGAGGCAUGACUGAAUGACUUGUGCUUUCUUUGCGUGGUGAGGGGGUGAAUCUUGAAUUGCUGGGCUGCUUUUAUUUUUGUUAGACGUGUGUGGGCUGACGACAUGACUCAGUAUUUUCUCUGCAGAUGCAAAGAUCGUCCUGCCAAUUCUGGGUAGACUCUGGGCAGUUUCAUGCGGAGAACUGGAACGCGUUUUAUUCCAGAGCUUUGCUUUUUGGCAGCCUGAAGCCCCUUGAUGUGGAAAUAAAUAAUAAGUAAAUAAAUAAAACAAGAGUGCUCUUGCAAAACGUACAAAAAUAUACUGAAAAAAUGUCCGAGGAUGGGGAAACUACCUCUUACCCUUGUGUUUUCCCAACAACUUAACUGAUUAUUUUCUUGUUACUCUGAAAAAAUGCCUGUUAACAUCUGACUUCUUUUUCUGCUCCUUCCAGGUCUUGGUUGCUUGUGGGCCAUCCCUUUGGCUGCAGUAACGACCCAAACCCUGCUACAAUCCUGACUCAGUAACAGCCCAUACAGCUGUGAACUAUACCCGAGCACUGAUUCUAAGCUAAUUACAAGCCUUUGGUACAAGCGUGCAGGAGGAUGUGCUGCAGUGCCACUGUUUCAUCUUCCUAUCAUCCUAGUUCCUCAGUCCUAAGCCCUGCUUUCCAUUCUUGACAUUUUCUCCAGCCUGCACUGCCCACCCACGGAAAUAACGCACCCCAAAUGUUAGCUUAAGUGCAACCAUCGUUCCUCUGCACCUAGUGGGAAGCUGCUCGAUUUGGUCAGCCAAGUGCCUUCGUGGCCCUGUCCCAGAGUAAAAGAAUGGGGUACUCCCCCUUAUCCCCUCUGGGCAGUGCUCACAUUUUCCAGCAAUAAUCCAAGACUCUCAGCCCUUCCUAUCACACUGCCUGAUCCCAGAAAGUUGGGUUUGCCAGGGGCUGCGCUUGGCAGGGCCUGUUCUGGUGGAGAAGACGGGGGGAAGAUGUUUGGGGGCUGCUUUGGAAGGUGAAACUGCUUGCUGGAGCUGCUGAGGGAGGGCGAGUAGGCUGCAGGCUGCUCAGGUCUGCUCAGGUGCCAGCACUGUGUCAAGCAAAGCAUGUGCUGCUGAAGCACUUUGGUCCUGCUCCUUUGUAUACAGUCAAGGUUGGCAUUGCCAUUUCUGUUUCUAAACUGCAUUUUAUGAGGCUGUCCGGGUUUCUGGGAGGAAUGCUUAUUAAAAGAGGUUUUGUAAUUCUCUUACAGCGAGUGUGUGGUCUUUUGCUUUUCUGAACUUCUGCUGUGCUCCAUUCAAGUGUAUUUGUGCUUGGAAAGAAACCUUGGACAGAGAACAGCUGACGGAGAGCAGAUCAGACUGGGGGCGAGAUGGAGCUGGCUCAAGCUACGUUCCUGCCGCAGAUGAGGCAGGUACCCCCCCCCUGCUCAAAGGGUGCCUGCAGCGGCCAGGAUCGCUGAUACACCCUGCUUGGAGAGAAAUCACAACAGCCAAAGGAUGUUGUUUGUGGUCGUAGAGAAAGUGCUCGUUAACCGGUGAGCUUUGCUGUGCGUGGCUGAGGCUGCAACUUCCUUCUGUUCACAGAGACCUGGGUUUGUUGCAGUACUCGAGGCUGGUACAGGGAAAGUCCCUGCAGAGGGCUGAGCCCGUCCUGCUUCCUCAUUCUUUGCACUCUCUCCACUGGGCAAACCUUUUCUUUGUCACCUGCAAACUUCCUCGUGAAAUCGAGCAACGCCAGACCAACCCUGAGCAAAAGGAGGCCUCCUCCCCACAAGUCGCACAGCCUCACCCCCUGCUCUUACGGGAAUACCCAGCGGUGUGCUUUACCGAGGCGAUUAGAGGGGUUGUCGUUCGCGGAGACCUCACGAAACACAACACAUGUGCGUUUUUAUGGCCAAUUUGGAUAAAGUUACCACUGCAGCUGGUGACUGCAGCUCCAAGAUAACACCCAGCACGUGACAGCCUAGGAAGCAGCACACCAAGGAGCCAGGAGCUGUGUGUUUUCAGGUUGUGGCGUGGCUACAAGCACCGAUGUGUUGUUGCACAACUUUGACGUGAACAGCUGUCUCCCCGUUGUUGUCAUGUUGUUAUUACUUGUAAAUGUUUCUGCAAGAGCUUUCAGGCCCUACCACUAAUACGUAUUUUCCUUAAUGUCCUUUUGGAUUAGAUUAAUAACUCGAUGUGCUUUUGGAUCAGAUUAAUAAAGGAAAACAAUGUCUGUUGUAA
Anas platyrhynchos (mallard) is the source of this 9755-nucleotide non-coding RNA. The record is from RefSeq and is a predicted model, not a curated record. Lineage: Eukaryota; Metazoa; Chordata; Aves; Anseriformes; Anatidae.